Molecule: long non-coding RNA, 595 nt
Organism: Triticum aestivum (bread wheat)
Lineage: Eukaryota; Viridiplantae; Streptophyta; Magnoliopsida; Poales; Poaceae
Exons: 3
Source: RefSeq, a predicted model, not a curated record
UCUCGCCAACAAUCCUCCAGGGAAAACACUCCUUCAGCAGCUAGCAGAGAACAACAUGCCUAAACCCACUUUUGUACUCGCCAUCAUCCUUCUAAUUGCUCUCUUCAGUGCAUCUGCAGGUCAAACCAUAGUGGUGGAAAUUGAUAAUGAUGUUCCCCCGAAGUUCAUAAAGGGGCACAGCAGGAAGAUUCUCACAGAGAUUCAGGACUAUGACUAUGGAGGAGCAAACUCUAGGCAUGAUCCACGCAGAAGGCCCGGGAGGAAUGGCUAGAGAGUUAAGACCCUUCGUGCAUAUCCCUGCAUAUGACAGUGUGGAGGUAUUACUAUGAAAGCAGGUCAUAUGAGGGACCAGUCACUCGCGGUAGCAAGCCUAUAUGAUUUUCAAAUUCCCUGCAGUAUGGUUUAUAUAUCCAAAUAGAUCAGAGAGCGCGAUAGAUAUUACUCGUAUCCCCUAAAUAGUCUAGCCGCGUGAAGUUGAGACUUGUUCAUUGGCACUAAGUGCUACAAAAGCAUACAUGAUGCAGAGGGUUAUCUAUGAUGCCAUUUGGCGCAGUUAUAAUAAUUUCUUGUGAGCUCAAGCUGCUCUGUUCUCUUC